GUACCUGUUGACCUCAUCUGGGCUGCAGUUGGUGACUGCUCGAAGGGGUGGGAGGAACAGUAUAAAGUCCUGUCCCCUUCCUGCCUUCAAGGGCACCCCUGAAGGACCAUAUCCACUGUGGACCCCCUUGGGAUCAGCCGAGUGACUCGAAGGAAUUGGGUCUUGAGACACAGCCGAGCCUGUGAGCGCUGACCUGUGUAAAGAAGACACCAGAAUGAGAUGUCUCCACACACAGAGAGCUGCAGCCGAUGCCGGCCGGUGACUUGGGACUUGGAUGCUUAACAGGAGGCUCCCCCUCUCUUGGGAGGUAGAGAGCAGUGAGGAAGGGGACUCAGCCUCCAUGCCUCCCGCCAGCCCAGCUGCGCCCGAAUCACCUCCCUCCUGAAAGGAUGUCAGCCUCUGCUUGGACACCGUGGAGACAGGGCCCUCCUUGUGCUUCAGAAGCAUCAACGUGUCAGAAAAUCAUCUUCACGCCAAGUCUGGAAAAAAUGGCUUUGAGGUUGUGCACACAAAGGAAGGAGGGAGAGCCCCAGGUGUCGCGGAGGACCAUGCGGCUGACAGAGCCAGCAGGGCGGUGGCGUGUGAGCCGUGCUCUGGAUAUAUAAGGAUCUGACGCUGCUGGCAAUGUCUGAGCUCUAUGCUCGCCCAUCUGUCGGCUGCUAUCAUCACCGGGUGGGAUUAGCGGAGAUCCACUCUUUCAUAUUUAAAUCUUCACAAGAGAAUGAAUCACUUUUAUAAUAAAAGAAAAAGACCGUCCAUGUUGUUAAUGUGCACACAGCAAGUUGGAAGGCCGGGGAGGGCAGCGGGUGGGGACGCUGACCCAGGCGCCCCCCUGCUGCCUGGAACAGCCCCAGGCCUGCUCCACUGUCCCCUCGGGGUUCCCUGUCGAAGAGGCCAAAGAGUGGAGGGGCUGGUGCCUAGAGGGUGUGGAGCUGCAGGUGCACAGUACAGCUGGCACCUGGCAGAGGUGGUUCAUUAUCAAGCAAAGGAUGAACAAGGCACUUGGAGCCCCUUCACAACUGGAACCUCCACUGCAGGCACAAGGCUGGGCUGGACUGGGGUCUCCUCCUCUCCAUGACAGCCUUGGGCAACCUGGAGCCCGCCACUGCCCCUCCCCAGGUGCUGUCCCCUUGAAGCUUCUCCCAACGGUUUAGUAUUGUAGAGUUGGCACAUCUCACGUGAACAAGAACAGCCAUCACUGAAACGAAUGCUCAGAGCGGACCGGCGUUUUUUCCCAGCCACCCUGGGGUGAGCAUGGCUCACGUUGCACACCAGGAAGCCCAGGAGCGGGGAAUUGAACCAGUUCCAUCCAGUCCCUGGCAAGGGACCACCCUGUGUCCGAAGGCCACGUUCAUUUUUCAGAUUGCAGGAAAUGGCUCAGCCUGAAGUUCAAGUUUUCCUCUGAGCUCCUGUUGAUUAAUGUGGCAAAGAGAGCAUGCUGUGGAAUAUGCUGGCAGAAAUGUCAGGAUUGCUAAAGCGUUUCACUGCAAAUGCUCAGGCUGGUGGGGAGGUGCCUUGGCACAAUUCUGCAGAGGGUAUUUGGCAAUAGCAACAAAAUCACAAAGGCACAAACCCUGUGACCCAGAAACACCAAUUUCACGGUAGGAGCUGCUGCCGCAGGGGUUUGCCCAGAGCACAGGGAAAGAUGUGCUCACUGUACUCGCUGGGACAAGCAAGAGAUUGGAAAGAGCUCAGUGUCGUCAUUCAGGGUGUCUCCUGUGUCUCCUGAUCGCUAUAAGGGGUUCCAGGCUGGUCCCCGGGGGAGGAGCUCCUGAUCAGACGCAGGCCCUGCCCCCUCCCCAGCACAGAGCUGGUGAAGGAAGUGGACAUUCAUUCAUUCAGGAUGUUCUGAGUAUUUCAGCACCACCAGGCCCUGGGAAAUCAAGGUCUCAGCAGAUGACGGUGGCAGUUUGAUUUUUGGCUGAAUUGUCCUCUACAGCAGUCACUGGGGGUUGCGUUUUUCUCACACUGCCCAGUCAUGCAGCACACGGAAGCCAUCCAUAUGCCAUGGGAAAAUGCUUUGUCUCCUGCCUGGGCGCCCCCCGAGCCAGUGAGUACAGUCCUGCCUAGUGGCAAGGUGAGUGUCCUGUUCCCAAGUCAUGAAAAUGCUCUUCACUGGGGCGGGUCUGCCGAGUUGGGAAGGGCACUUACGGUUUAAACCGAGAGACUCUCCCUGCAUUUGAAAUGAGGACAUAGAGUUCUUUUUCUCUUUUCUUUUCUUUUGUUUUUUUGAGACGGAGUCUUGCUCUGUCGCCCAGGCUGGAGUGCAGUGGUGUGGGGUGAUGGGGCAAAUGGGGCAGGGCGGCCAGGUGGGGCCAGGCGGGCAUCUCCCGAGGAUGAUCCUGGAGGUCAGCUGCCCGGUGUGGGUGGCCAUGACCUUGGUAGCCUGUGACCUUGGUGGCUGUGAGCUUGGACGAGAACAUUUUCUUCUGCCAGUGCAAUGCCUAGAGAGGCAGGCCACUGAGGGCUGGGGCAGUGAACCCCGGGGACAUCGCGUUGGGGAGUCCUGCCGUGAUAGAGGGCCCCUGGGCACCACAGUGCAGCGUGUACUCCACCGUGGCUGCUGGAUGGCCACCCAUGGGCAGUGGAGCUGGGGCAGGGAUGGCAUUCCAGGUCUACAAAGUAGGGAGAGUGACGGCCCAAAGGAGCGAGGGUCCAGGCGAGCCGCACACGGAGGAGCGAGGGUCCGGGCAGGCCGCACAUGGGUCGGAGGCUGCAGAGCCCAUGCUGACGGCGCACACCAUGGGCUCGGCCUGCUGUCCCUAGAAAGUGUGGGGCAGAAAGAACGGAUGCACCUGUGUGCUCCUUGCUGGAAGUGGCAGGGGGCUCUUCCCAUGCUGGAUCUCCGGACACUCCCCUUGGCGCUCUGCCUGGUGGUCCGCCGCUGCACACGGGACACGGCAGGCUCCGUCCCCUCGGCGGCCACUCUGUCCCCUUUUAAGGCAUGUCAGAAACAAAGCCCUGGACGGCUGUGGCUGGGUUGGGCGUUCGCCCCAGUCCCUUUAAGCCCUCUGGGAAGGGUGGGAAGUUUCCAAAACUUCCCGUUAUCCACACCAAGCUCCUUGACCAGAGUCCAGUAAUGGGACGCUGGCAGUGCCCGGAUGCCCCGAUACAGGCAGGAGAGGCACCGUACUGGGUUCAUCCAAGGCCAGCUUAGGUCCUGGGAGCUAGGACGACCAGAGAGGAGAAAGGCAAGGCAGGGACAUGGCACUGAGACAGAAGAGACCACCCCCAGAACAGAGACCCCCGAGAGGGCAGAGACCCCGAGACAGCAGAGACCCCCAGAGGGCAGCAAUCCCAAGAGAGCAGAGACCCGGAGAGGGCAGAGACCCCAGGAGGGCAGAGACUCCUCAGAGGGCAGAGAACUCUGAGGCCAGUGACCCCCAAAAGAGCAGAGACCCCGUGAGAGGCCAGAGACCCCAGAGAGGUCAGGGGCCCCCGAGAGAGAGGGCAGAGACCCCGUUCCUUGUUUUUCCUUGUUUGCCACCUUCAAUGUCAUUCUUGCCCUCCCUCCCCCGCCGAGUGGGGGACUGUGGUGGCCUUAGCUACCCUCACGUGGCUUUAGGACCCUCAGAGCAUAACUAAGCCCCCGAAGGCUCUGGUCUUCCAACAACAUGAUCUUUAGGAGGGCAAAGCUCCUGCGGCUCCUGUGGGCUGGCAUUGUGACUGCCCUGGGAGGUGGCAGGUGUGACUCGCUGUCCCUGGGGAGGCGGGACCCCCCUGGGCACCUCUGCAGGUGCGAAUCGGGGGUGGUCUUUCUCUGCGUGGCUGCAUGGGGUGAGAGCCUCUGUCCCAGGGCAGGUGUGGGGACAGGCCCUGGUGGAGCGUGCGGGCCGGCUGGAGCUGGGGUGCCCGGAACUGUGGUUUGUGCAGGCCCAGGAGCCUCUGUCCUCGUGUGAUCUUUGUGCACUCAGGACUUCGAGUCACACCUGGAUUUGGUGAAGGGCUCCGGUUUUAGUUCCAGCUCUGGUAGCCACACCUCUGGGAUCACGGGCAGGUCACACUCCCUUUCCCAGCCUGUUUCCCCAUCUGUACGACGUGCAUCCUCCUGUCGCGAGGAUGUGUAGGUGCAAGAGACGUCCACCUCACCUGGCCCUGUCUGCAGGCAUGAGGCUCUGUGAGGCGGGGCCCUCCCUGGGGACUCUGUGGGGAUGAGGCCCUCACCUGGGGACUCUGUGAGGGGGGACCCUCCCUGGGGACUGUGUGAGGAUGGGGAUGAGGCCCUCACCUGGGGGCUCUGUGGGGCUGUGCUGUCAGCUGGGUGAGGGGAGUCCUGGCCAUGGUAACAACAGGUCCAGGAGCUUGCCCCUUUGCCCAGAACAUUCCUCCCAUCUGCCCCCUCCAGGCCUCAGCUUCCACGCCUUUCCCUCCAGGGGACCUCCUCUUCCUUUCCUAGUUCCCCCACCUCCCUCCAUAUUCACCCGUGCGCAUGCCGGUGAGCGGGCGUCCAGGCUGGAGUGCCAGCGUCUGGGUCUGGGUCCCGGUCCUCAGGCUGGAGUGCCGGCAUUUGGGUCCCAGUCCUCAGGCUGGAGUGCCGGUGUCUGGAUCCCGGUCCUCAGGCUGGCGUGCCAGUGCCUGGGUCCCGGUCCUCAUGCUCCCUACACCAUGGCUGUCUCCUGAUGUUUUUGGCUGACUCUCCCUGGAAGCAGAAUGAGGCCAGGGUUGAUGUGGAAGCUGUUCAUUUCUUUGGGAGGUGACCCAGGAAGACAGGGAGUAGGGAAGGGGAUGCACCUGUAAGGGCUGAUGGCUUAGUGCCCCUGCUGAGCACCCUCCAGUGACUCCCCUGGAGCGGGGAGGAGGCUGAGUAUUUAUCCAACUCCUGCCUGUGGGGGUAACAAACGAGGCCGCUCUGGGGGUGCGACUGCCUGAUAGCCGGCCUGCCCCAGCCCAGGCAGAGAGCCCUGGGCAGAGCCCCCUAUUGCCGCCAGUGUCCUUUCCUAGCGGUCAUUCUCACUGCUGUACUUGCAGCGUGGUGGCCCAGUCACAGGCCCUCCCUACCCCCAGGGUUCUGCCCCAUCCUGACAGGGCUGGCCAAGAGCCUGGCACUGGGGCCCGAGAUGAGACCUCAGUGCCACAUAGUGACUGGGGUGGGGGACCGACCAGAGUGGGUGGGAGGCAGGUGCUUUCUGAAGUGUGCCUGGCCUAGCCUUUGUCCAGCGAGCUCUAGACACAGCUGCUGACCCUGAGGGCUCCGGCACCUGCCCUUUUGCCCAGCUGCAGACUGGCUCUCGGUGGCCAUGGGCCUUGAACCAGGUCAGAUGAUGGGGGUUGAGCUGACAGGGCCUUGCUCCAGGCCCUGGGUAAUUGGCUGGGGUCUGGGCCUGGCUGGGGGUGUCCCCAGUGGCUCUGCUAGUCACCUGGUUAGUUGGCCUGGCAGGAUGAGAAGCGGCUGGUCUCACAGACCCAAGGAACGAGCCCUUCCUGGUGAGAUGGGAGGCCCUAUGCAGGCUGAAUGUGCCCGGGUGUGAGCACUUGUGUGUGUGCACUCAUGUUCACAUGCCAUGCCUGUGUGUGCGUGCAGGCAUGUGUAUAUGCAUUUGCCUGUGUGUGUGUGAGUUGAGUGUAAAUGUGUGCAUGUGGGUGCAUGUAUGUGCACAAGUGUGCCUGUGUGUACACAUGUGUGUCUGUGUGUAUAUGCAUGUGCUGGCACAUGUACAUGGGUGUGUGCCCAUGGGUUCAUGUAUGUGCACAAGUGUGCCUGUGUGUACACGUGUGUCUGUGUGUGUAUGCAUGCGCUGGCACAUGUGCAUGCUGUGUGCAUGUGCAUGGGGUGCCUGUGUAUACGUGCACGUGUGCUGGGGAGGGCCCACUCACCACGUGCUGCGGGCGCCCUGCGGGUGCCAGCCCCUCCUCGUCUGCCUUGCUCUCCUGCCCUGCCUUGGCUCCCUGCCUUCCCCUCACCGGUUCUCUCUCUGCUUGGCGUCAUUCCUUUCAUAAAUUCAGCCUGGCCAUGGUUUCCAUGGUGCUCUGAUAAAAACUGGAAUUCCAGUCAUAAUUGCAGGGAGUUGGGGAGCUGGGAGAGAGGGUGGAGGCAGGAGGGAACAUUUUCUAUACAGGAAGCUCAGGUCUCAAUGGCUGUGGCUGGUUUUUCUUCCUUCAGAGGUAUUUAGAGUGUAUAGAAUUCUCUCUCAAGAGCUCCCCUGUUGCCUCGCGAUGGCGACGGGCCGGCACUGUCCUCCUGGGUGGGCCUCCUAGCCGAUGGGCUUCUGUCUCUGUGCUGGAACAGGGCGGAGCUCGGCAGACCUGCUGGGUGGGGAGGGGCUUGACCCGGGCUCUGGCUUCAGGGGACUGGAGUUCAGGGGUGCCUGGGGCAGGCUGCCCGGCCAGUGUCCCCAGAUCUCCCGCUCCAUGACUGAGCUGGAAUUCCAUGGUUGUAUUUCCAUUCCUAUGAUGUUGUCGUCAAUGUCAGUGUUCCUCCGGUUGGGGUGCAGUGAUCUCCUAUGCCCUGGAGUGAACGGGGGUUGUGAGAAUUCCUUGCAGGGGCUGGGGCAGCAGAGCCCCACACCCUCCGUUCUGUGCCAGCCAGGGGGGUGCCGAGUCAGCCAGGUCCCGAGGAGCACUGAGCAGAUGAAUGAAUGAAUGGAUGGAUGGAUGGAUGGAUGGAUGGGAAGGUAUAGGGAGGUGGCUCUCCCACCCCAGGGCGCAUCUGACUCUCCUGGAUAAGUCGUUAACAUGCAGAUUCCCAGGCCACCCUACCUUCUGAUCGCCUGGGGCUCAGCUGGGGCCUGGGAAACUGGUCUGGAACAGGCUCCCUGGUGGUUCUGACGUGAGCCCGCCCAUCUGCCUGCCCAGGAGACACAGGGAACAGGGGCAGCAGGAGCACUGGAGGCCUGUGGUUGGGAAAGGGGCUUUCUUCUUUGUCCCCCAGAGGACAGCGUUUGGCUGUCAACAAGGCCCUGCCUCUGCCCUAGUGGCUUGGGGCUGGGCAGGGGGGUUUGGGGGACCCCUCUGCUAUGUGAGAUGGAGGCAGAGGCAGGGAGGUGGGAAGGGGGAUGAGGCAGGGACACACCCGGCGCAGAAGGCACUUCUGUGGGGCUGUCAGCCCUCAGGGGGGUCCUGCCAUGGGGGUGUCUUCUCGUCCUCCUGUGGGGGUGUCCUCCCGUGGGGAUGGGAGGGAGGGCCUCAUCAGCUCAGAAGCAGAUGGUGGCUGGGUUCUUCCUUCCUUCCUUCCUUCCUUCCUUCCUUCCUUCCUUCCUUCCUUCCUUCAACCUUCUUUCUUUCUUUCUUUCUUUCUUUCUUUCUUUCUUUCUUUCUUUCUUUCUUUCUUUCUUCUUUCUCUCUCUCUCUCUUUCUUUCUUUCUUUCUUUCUUUUCUUUUUCUUUCUUUCUCUUUCUCCUUCCUUCCUUCCUUCCCUCCCUCCCUCUCUUUUUCUCUUUCUCUCUCUCUUUCUCCUUCCUUCCUUCUCUCUCUCUCUCUUUUCUUCUUUUCUUUCUUCUUUCUUCUCUUUCUUUCUUUCUCUUUCUUCUUUUCUUUCUUUCUUCUCUAUCUCUCUUUCUCUCUGUCUUUGACAUGGAGUUCUUGCUCUUGUCACCCAGGCUAGAGGGCAGUGGUGCAACCUCAGCUCACUGCAGCCUACGCCUCCUGGGUUCAAGUGAUUCUCCUGCCUCAGCCUCCCAAGUAGCUGGGAUUACAGGUGCCCACCACCACGCUCAGCUAUUUUGUAUUUUUAGUAGAGACGGGGUUUCACCAUGUUGGCCAGGCUGGUCUCAAACUCCUGACCUCAAGUGAUCCGCCCGCUUUGGCCUCCCAAAGUGCUGGGAUUACAGGCGUGAGCCACCGCGCCCAGCCUUUUUCAGUUCUUUAAACGCUGGCGUGUGUGUGGCUGUGGAUCCUACGGGGUGUUUAUGAAGGACGCUUGGUGUGUCCUUGGUCCCCACGCAUCUUACUGCUGCUCCCACCUGCCCACCCGGGAGGAGGCUGACCUUGUUGCCUCGCUGCUCCAGCUCCUUCCUCCUUGGCACAGAGCCCAGGGAUCCCUAGAGAGAGGCAGAACUGGAAAGACCACAGGGACCUCAGGCUGCUCCCGCUUGCUGGGUCUCAGUCAUGAAGAGCCGUGGGUGUGCGAAAAGCCGGGAGAAACCAAGUGGAAGCCAGUCGGGAUGGUGGUCAAUGUAACAAAGACCCCAGAGAAAGGAAAGGGCUGUGGGGCUAGGCGGUCUUCUGGGAGGGAGAGUGGGGGGCUCAGAGGGAAGCACGGAGUGGAAGGAGGAGGGCGGGCAGGAGGAGGGGCAGUGACUGUUCUCUCGGUUGUUGAUCUGGGUUUGCCUCCAUGCCAUGUGGCACCCCAUGAUUUAUUGGGGUGAUACUGAAACUCACCACCAAAUGGUACUUAUUCCUCCCGGCUUUAGGCACAGACUUUCUUACUUUAAGGAGAACUAUGUUGUCUGAAUCCAAUAAUUUUACUUUAAAAAUGUAGCCAGAGUUAAAAAAUAGCUAUUGGCUAACAGCCCGUGUGAAAAUUUGCCGUGGGGAAUGAGGGCGAGGACCUGAAUGGGUGGGUGGGGGAGGGUGCCCGUCAUCCGAGACCACCCAUGCCUUGUGUUUGCUCCUUCACCUCUGCCCUCCCAACCUGCGCCCCAGCCCUGCCCCUGAGCCUGACCAGCGUCCUGGGGUCCCCUGCAGAGCCCACCUUGCUGCGGUCACCCUUUUGGUCAACUUGCCUGGGGUGAGAGCCCGCCACAUCCACCUCUGCCUGGCUGCCCAACCAGCGUUCCUCCCUGGCAUGCUUUCCCCAUGCCCCCCAGGGGGAAGAGAGGAGCCAAAUGGUUCCCAGAGGCUGAAGCAGACCCCAGGAGGCUCUGGGUGUAGCCUGGACAGUGUCUACACAGCUCGGCGUCUGAGGCUGAGGUGGGAGAGCCUGGGCAUGCAGGGUCUCCUGCCGGGUGAGCAUCUCUGAUUUGGGGGCAAAGCAACCCGUACCCUGUCCUUCAUCCCUCUCUGAGCCCCGCAGCCUGGAGCUUCCUCCUGCCACUGCCAUCAGUGGUCCCUACCAGUCCCUGGGGCAGCAGCUUGGCUCUGCCCUCUCACUGCUCCUGGGUCUUGGUGUGCUGGAGGCUGGGUGCUUUUCUCACCUGGCAGCUCCUGGGGAGGCGUGCCCUCCCCAGGAGGGGGUCACGGUCCUUGGGAGGUGGGGUCUUCUGAAGGUCCCACAAUGGCGAGGGCAGAACCAACACCAGCUCCGUGCAGCUCUCCCCCUCCCUGGCGUCCCCAGCUGUGAAACAGGUGGAGCUCGCCUUCGGCCUGUGGGCCUGCAGGGUGGGUCACCGGGAGCACAUGAGGGCUGAUAGGACCAUGGUCUUCAAGCUUAGGGAGGCUGUGGGUCCUUGGCAGAUUACCAGAGCCUUGGCUUCCUUGGCCAGUCAAAUGGGAACAAUGACCUAAGGAUGCUGAGCCCCAGGGCGGCCGGAGGCUCCCUACACACAGCUGGGUUCAGCCAGGGCUCCUAGGUGAUGCCUGGCAGAAUCUGCGCUUAAAGUCCUGUCUCCCAAUCCUCUUCCUCCUCCUCCAGAGAUGCAGUCAGAGAGACAGCCCCCAGCUCCAGGGAGGAAGCAGGGAGAGGGAGGAGCAGGGAGAAGAGAGGAGAGGGAAGAGAGGCUCGGAGGGAGGCUCAGAGGGGAGGGAGCCUCAGACCAGGGAGAGGCUUGAAGGGGAGAGAGGCUCUAGAGUGGAGAGGAGAGCAGGGACCUGGUUGCAGGCAGUGCUAUACCCUGGGCCACCUCCAGAGUGACAGGAGCGGGUGGCACCAGGCUCCACUGUUGGUGGAGGGGGCUCAGACUAGGCCGGGGCAGAGAAGGAGCCGGGCAGCCAGGCAUGAAGCUCAUGAUUGACACCAAUUCCUUAACCUUAAACAUCACGGAGUGUCCAACUCUGGGGACGAAUCGGGGUGUGGACAGGUUCAGGCAGGGAGCCCGUGGAGGGCAGCAGUCGAGGGCCCGGGUACCGCUCUGGGCCAGGAGGGACACUGGCCUGGCCGCCAAGGCCAGAUGCCAAGGAAGGCAGCCUCCGCCUCCCUCCCAGCUCCCCUGACGCGGCCAACCUUGGUCCUGCGGGCCGGGCCCUGAGUGCUAACUUCCACCUUAUCCCACGUCCCAGCUCACAGUGGCAGAGCUGGAGUCCAGCCCAGGACCCUGUGCGUCACCACCUGUGCGCUCAUGGCUGUGCUGUGCUGCCGGGGGAAGAGCUGGCAUCCCCUCUUCACCCAGUGCUCGCCACGCAGCCUCUGGGUGCACAACACAGGCCCCCCAAGGGCUCCACAUGGUGGGUGCCCUCUCCCUGUGCCCACCUUGUGGCCACGCACAGCCGAGGGGAAGCGGGACCCCGAGGCAGCAGGCUCUCCUCGUCCCCAUCCGGCCUCCUCCUGGCUCUGGCUUCCCUCUGUCGGGGGUUUAAGGCUUCCUAGAGAGAGCAGCUGUUGGGUGAGAGGGUCUUCCCGGAGACCCUGCAGCCUCUUCUGAAUCAGGGGCCCAGGAGUCCUCACUCAAGCCAUCCCCACCUCUGAGCUGGGCAGGUGCGGCUCGGAGGGGAAGGUGGGGGACCAUGCCCUUAGGGUGGGUGGGGUUGUCCUGUGUUUCUGCUGUCCUUUGGGUUAAGGUGUGGGGAUCUUUGUUACCAGGAGAUGCUGUGGCCACUAACGCUUUAGCACAGAUAAGGACAGGCUGAGCCUGGUGGGGAUCUGGGGCAGCGCCGCUUGGGAGGGCAGGCGAAGGUGAGUGCUGGGUGCUGGGAGGGAGGGGCCUGGCAGCGUGUGCCAAGAUCCCUUUAGAUGAUCAGGGUUAUAGUUUAUCUCCCCACCCUCACCCAGACCCCUCCCAGCCCUGCUGCCACCUGGCUGCCCCCAAAGGAAGGAGUCCUGAGCCCCCAGGCACAGGAAAACAACACUUAGAGAAUCUCUAAGUGCUGCAGGGAGGUGGAGGCAGGGCCAGAGCUGCUGAGGACGGCCAAGAGGACCCCCUCAGGAAGGGGUGCUCCCUGCCAUCAGGACCCAGGAACCAUGGCAGGCUCCUGACCACGAGGGCCCCAAGGCUCCUCCCCUCUCCCCCUAGGCCCCUACUCAGCCCCUCCAUGGGCGCUCAAAUCCCUCAAGCUCUCAACCCGCCUUCUCCCUCCCCUAUUGCUCCCCUAGCACCUGCCCUUCUCCUCUCCAGCCACUCUGAGCCCCUCAUGUCCCUGGGGAGACCCCUCACUCCUGCACUCUCCCUUGCUCAGGCUCUGCCUCCCACUGGCCCACCUGCCUCCUCCUCCAGGCAGCCUUCCUGGACUGUUCAAGCCCAAGCAAAUGCUUCUUUUGCUGAGCUCCACAGGGUGAGCCCAGCACUCCUAAUCCUGAGGCCCAGGAGGCUUAUGAGAAAGACCCCAGGGCACCACCCUGCAGACUCUGCUGUCACCGGCCUCUUGUGGCUCAGGCUCAGGCAAGCCGGAGAAAAGCUUUUGGUGCCCUAAAAAGGAGCACAGCAGAGAGCCAGAGCCGCCCAACCAGGGAUGGAGAAUGACCCGGGCCUUGGCGGGGGAGAAUUGGAAACGGUGGGUCUGGGAGGUGCCUGGGAACCCUCAUUUUCAGAGCAGAAGCCCUGGGGGUGAGGGUUCAGCUGCAUCUUCUGUCUCCUCAGUAGCCUGCACGGGGCUGGGCCCAGGCCAGAGGCUCAGUACUGCACCCGGGCCUAUCUGUCCACUGCUAAGGCCUCGAUGGGGCCAUGGCCCCCUCCCCCACAACCACAGGACCCCUGGGCUGGCUAGAGGGGGCCAUGGAGAUCUGAGCUGAGCGGUCAUGGGACCCCGGGCUCCCCGCUUCACUGAGCGUCCUCUGUGUUCAGCUCACAGAUCAGGAGACUGAAGCUCAGGAGACGGGCCAGCUUCCGGGGCCACAUCAUGACCUGGCCGCAAGCUAGUGAUACGAGAUCAGGUGUCGUGGGUGUGUCUGUGGUGCGUGGACACGUGUCCCUACCUACGGUAAGUGCACAGAUAGGAGCAUCAAGACAUCAACGGGAAAAGCCGACUUCAGUCACAGCCACAGACCCCGCCCCAGAGACCCCACGUCUACCGAGGGUCUAGGGCAGUGGGGCAUCCACUCUGCCCUCUCUCAGAGCACCAUCCUGAGAGACACCAUUCUGUCUGUUCCGGGGUGGAUCCUCCAGGACAGUCUCAUCCAGCUGAGAGGGCGGAACGACCACAUCUGUUCCUUAGAUGGGGAAACCGAGGCUCAGAAAUUAUGGCCCAAGGUCCAGGAGCCCCAGAGAAGGGUCUGAGGCUGCCCUGUCUGGCUCUGAGUCCAGGUCCUCGUUCAGAGCCCAGCCUGAGGGGCCUUAGCAUUUGCUAGACUCUGAGCCCACUCCUGAGCAGGGGUAGGGGCUGCACUGACCUCUGGACAUCCCUGGCUGGCAGCAAAGCUCUUCCGCCCAGAGCAGACUAUGUCAUGGGGGCUCUGUGGGGGAGGAAGGCCCCUCUGUGCUGGCCCUGUUUCCCUGGGGUUGGUGGCCCUUGGGCACUGGGAGGGCUGCCUGGCUGAUGACCAGGCUUGUGGGGGCAAAGUUUGGCAGGAAGUGCAGCGAAUAGGCCUGACUCCCCUGGGCCCUGUUCUUGGUGAGCCGAAGGGUCCUGUGGUUGGAGAGGGAUUUUGUGGGGUUCAAGGAACCCGUCAACUCAACAGCCAGAUCCAAGCGACUGCAGAUACUGUAGCAUUCGACUCUCAUUUCUCAGACGGGGAAACUGAGUCCAGAGAAGGCAAAGUGGCUGAACACAGCCCAAGACCAGGUGUCCGGGUCCUGGGUCGACAUGGCCGGUGCAGGCAGCCAGCCCAGAGCCCAUUUCCCUGGGGCAAAGGCUGCUCUGAGACAGGGAAAUCCCUUGAAGAAAAGGCUGACUUUUGCUUCCUGUGGCUCCCAGCUCCUGGCUGGUCCCGGCCAGCUUCUCCUGGGACUGUCUUCUCUUAGGCUUAGGCGACCUUCUUAAGCCAGGGGCCUGGCUAGUCAUGUGCUCUGUGGAGCCUGGAUCCUAGAGACCAAGGAGGCGCCAGCUUUUUCAACUGCUUGGAGGCCGGGGCCAGGGCUGCCGCCGCCAGAAGGUGACAAAUGAGUCUGUGCCUCAGCCCAGGGCUGCCGGCCAGCGGUGCCUGGACACACCGCUCCUUCUCACCUGAAGCCUGAGUUCCUGGGACCUGGCAUCUUACUCAGAGACCAGGCACCAUCGCCCCUGUCCCACAUUCCCCUUCUCAAGGCCCCACCCUGAAGCCAGCUCUGGGCCUGGCUCCAGACCUCAGCCUGCACAGCCACAAGCAAAGCACACGGAAUGCGCACCCCAUCCUGGCCACGGCCACUCGGGCAGGUGCUGGAGACCAGGCCCCUGAUCCGGCGUCCCUUCUGCCGAGCCCGAGAGGCCACAGCUGAAGAUCUUGAGGCUGAGGCCUGAGCCCCCUCCCAUGUGGUGUCCUGGCAGAGCCCCUGGGCCUUGGCCUGGGUGAGGAUGGGAGGGAGGAGGGGAGGCUGGGGUCUGGGCCAUUCCAGGCCAGCCCAUUUUUGUCCUUUUUGGGCUUGUGGUCCCCUCUGGGGGCUGCAGCUGCCUGCGGCGAGGGUGGUGGGAGGGACUCCCCACGGCGAUGGGCCCCCAGCUUGCCAGGCCUGAAGGGGCGAGUCAGGGAGCUUUCUUGGAGCUGCCUGGGGGAGGGGGGCAUGGGUCUGCAUGGCAGGGUCUGCACGUGAGGCCCAAAGCCACGGAGCCUGCGGGACUGGGGCUGGACUCCCCGAGCUAGACAGAGGGGGUGCAGGCCUCAGAGAUGUGGACAUGGGAACAGCAGCCGGGCCGCCGGAGGCCCGGCCCCACCCAGCACCUUUCAUUUCCUUCUCUGGAACCAUCCAUUAGUCUGAGAACAAAGAAAACUGCCUUUUGCCGCACACUAAUUUCUCCUUGUUAGAGGCCCUUUUCCUAUCUGGGAGAGGAGCGCUCUCUUGUUCUGGCUUUCAAAGAGGAGAUGGGGGAGGGGUGGGGAGGAGUUGGGGACAGGCCCGGGAGACACUAAUGAGAAACAUGGGUUAGGGGGUGGGAGGGGGGGGUCCCAGGCCUCAGACUCCAGUGCAGGCUGGCCUCUGCCUGACCCCCAUCAAGGCUCCCGGGUGGGGGCUGCUCUGUCUGUCGGGGGCAAGGACCCAUGGCCAGGCUCCUCCUGGACACGUUCCGGGGCGCACAGCCUAGUACAGCGUCUCGCGGGUGGCAUUGCUGGAGAGGGUGUGGUUGCUGGACACGCUGUCGGCCUUCCUCGAGAAGGCUGGCCUCUUCCUCCUGCGCCGCCACACCGGGCAGAGGCAGGCCAGUGUGGCCAGGAAGAUGUGGCGGAAGUUGGCAGAGACGAGGUUGUACAGGAUGGGGUUGAUGGUGGAGCUGACGUAGAAGAGUGCGUUGGUCACCAUGUAGAAGUAGUGGUAGAAGUCAUAGAGGAACCUGCGGGGAGAGAGAGGCGCUCAGAUCCCAGAGAGAACUCUUGAGGGCCCCAAGGCAGGGUGACAGCCGGGGCCACAGCGGCUGAGGGACGUGGUGGCUCAGACGCUAAUUAAAACACCCCUUGAGAAUGGUUGUUUGGGGACAUUUCAUAACAAGCUCCAGGGUCUGGCUUCUCCUGAGCAGCUGCAAGUUCUCGUCGUGCUCCCGCCCAGCCUGGGCUGCUGCUGCUUUUUUUUUUUUUUUGAGACGGAGUCUCGCUCUGUCUCCCAGGCUGGAGUACAGUGGCGCGAUCUCGGCUCACUGCAAGCUCCACCUCCCGGGUUCACACCAUUCUCCUGCCUCAGCCUCCCGAGUAGCUGGGACUACAGGGACCCCCCCACCACGCCCGGCUAAUUUUUUGUAUUUUUGGUAGAGACGGGGUUUCACCGUGUUAGCCAGGAUGGUCUCGAUCUCCUGACCUCGUGAUCCACCCACCUCAGCCUCCCAAAGUGCUGGGAUUACAGGCGUGAGCCACCGUGUCCCACCCAGCCUGGGCUUCUUUAGGUGGAGCGUGGGCUCUGCUUGUCCAUCCCUGCCUCUCCUUGCAGCUGCCUGCAUUGCCCUUCGCAGCUCUGUGCAUCCAAGGGUCCAGGGCUUGGCUGGUCCCGGCCUAACCAAACAGCCAGGGCAGUAACCCCCUCCACACCUCCCCAGCAGCCACACACCUUGCCCUCAGCUUGUUGCCUCCCCCCACAGUGAUCUCACUCCCUCACCAGGCAGCUCAAUUACUACCAGUCAGCCCUGAGUUUCAGAAGCUUUUGCAGGGGCCACACUCUGUUCCCCGUGCCUUCUCCUCCUCAUUGGUCGUAGGUGCGCCCUCCCUGGUGGUUGUCACUGGAAGGAACCUUUUAUUCUGGGAUCUGGCAGCCCCACUGCACAGAAAAGGGUUCACAAGUGGGCCCCAAGCUGCCAUCUCAGGAUGGCCAGCUGGCAAGGCUGGCCUCUGGCUGGUGCCUGGGGCCUUGGAUUUUGGGAAGGCUCUGCCAUUUUUGGGUGAGAAGGGCUCCCUGCCCCUGAACUGUUGGUGCAAACAGUAGGGGUUUUGCCAGGCAGUGGGUGCCCCUGUGAUCGGCCCCCAUAUCGUCCUGUGAGGCUCCUCUGGGAGGGGGCCCUGGAAGCUGCAUCUGGUCUUCCGCUGACCCCACUCCAUGUGUCUUUUCCCUUUGCUGACUUUGCUGUAUAAGCAAAGCUUUGUCAGUAUUGGUGCUCUUGCUGCGAUAAGUCACAGCCCUGAGUAUAACUCCAGGCUGAGCCCUGUGGGUCCAACCUGGGUGGCCUUGGGGCUCUGACAGCUGCCAUAUGAGGAGGUGACACCCCCACCAUGUCCCCAGCAGAGCCAGGGAUGUCUCUCUUUCACCUUCGGGAAACUGCCUGGGCCAUCUCUCUUAGGACCAACUUUCUUUCUCUGCACCAGUCUGGCCUGAAUAGCCCCUGCCUUGAACCUGUCCCUCCAUGGCCUUCUCCCGGCCCCAGUCACAGCACAACCCUGCCCAGGGGGUCGCCGGGGGACUCACCACACCCCUGCCCUGAGUGGAUCCCCUCAGCAGUGCCUGCCACACCCACCAUCUGUUUUGGGAGCACUUACUUGUCCAGCACCCAACUUCCUGGUUCCCGGUACUCACGGAGUCCACUGCUCAUCCGAGAUGUAGCAGAACAUGAGGCGCCGCACGUGGUAGGGCAGCCAGCAGACCACAAAGGCGAUGACCACUGCACCUGAGGCACAGAGACGUGGGCUCAGAGACCCACUGCACCUGAGGCACAGAGGCGUGGGCUCAGAGACCCACUGCACCUGAGGCACACAGAUGUGGGCUCAGAGACCCACUGCACCUGAGGCACAGAGACGUGGGCUCAGAGACCCACUGCACCUGAGGCACAGAGACAUGGGCUCAGAGACCCACUGCACCUGAGGCACAGAGACGUGGGCUCAGAGACAGGACAUGGGCUCAGAGACCCACUGCACCUGAGGCACAGAGACGUGGGCUCAGAGACCCACUGCACCUGAGGCACAGAGGCGUGGGCUCAGAGACCCACUGCACCUGAGGCACAGAGGCGUGGGCUCAGUGGGGGAGACAUGGGCUCAGAGACCAGACACAAGCUCAGAGAGGGAGAGACGUGGGCUUGGGGAGGGAGCAUAAGCUCAGAGACAGGACACAGGCUCAGAGACAGGACACAGGCUCAGAGAGGGAGAGACAUGGGCUGAGGGAGGUAGACACUGGCUCAGAGACAUGGGCUUAGAGACACAGAGAUAUGGCCUCAGAGAAGGAGACACGUGGUCUGAGGGAGAUGCAGGGAGACAUCCCAUGUUCAUGGAUUGGAAGAUUUAAUAUUGUUAAGGUGUCAGUACUACCCAAAGCACUCUACAGAUUCAAUGCAAUCCGUAUCAAAUUUCAAGAAUGCUUUUGGCAGAAAUAGAAAAAUCUGUGCUAAAAUUCAUAUGAAAUCUCAAAGGAUCCCGGACAGCCAAAACAAUCUUGUAAGAAAAUAAAGUUGGAGGUCUUACACUUCUUGAUUUCAAAACUUACUACAAAGUUACAGUGUGGUGCUGGCAUAAAGAUAGACACGUAGACCAAGGGAAUAGACUAGAAAUCUCAGAAACGAACCCUUACCUUUAUGGUCAAGUGAUCUUCACCAAGACCAUUCAGUGGGGAAAGGACAGUCUAUUCAACAAAGGGUGUUAGGAAAACGGGACAUCCACUUGUAUGAAGGUGGAUCCUCCCCUCACACCAUAUACAAAAAUGGACUUGAAGUGGAUUAAAGACCUGAACAUAAGAACUAAAACCAUAAAACUCCUAGGAGAAAACAUAAUUACUUUACAACAUUGAUUUUGGCAAUGAUUUCUUGGGUAUGACACCAAAAGCACAGGCCACAAAAGAAAAAAGUAGAUAAAUUGAACAACAUAAACACUGAAUUUCUGUGUAUCAAAGGAUGCCAUCAGGAGAGUGGAAGUCAGCUCACAAAAAAGGAGAAAAUAUUUGCAAAUCACAUCUGAUAAUGAGUUAACCUUGAGAGUAUAACUCCUAAAACUCAACAUGAAAACAAACAAUCCAAUUCACAAAUGGGCAAAGGACUCAGACAUUUCUCCAAAGAAGAUACAAAUGGUCAACAAGCACAUGAAAGAUGUUAUUAAUCAUUAAUCUUAAAUCACUGGAGAAAUGCAAAUCAAAACCACAACGAGAUGCCACCUCAAAUCUAUUAGGAUGGCUACUAUUAAAACAACAGGCACACACUGGGACCAGGACACACCUUGGAUGUUGGCAAGCCAGCCGUCCUGAGCUGGGGCUGGUCCUCAGGGUUCCGAUAGGAUGGGCGUUGCCCUGCUGUGGGCUUCGCCAGCCCUGAGAGCUCCGUGUCCAAAGCCCUGGCUGGUUCCCAUGAGCAGGGAAGGCUGAGCCCAGAGCCAGGCUCUCUUAGGGUAAUGUGCUUGGCUAUGGGCCUCUCCUGUGACUGGCCACACCCUCAAACAAGCCCUGAAAAUGGGCCAGCACCAGGGAGGAGCUCAAGCCAAAUGCUUCAGGCAAACCAAACUGAAGACCUGGGUCUCAGGCAUGAAAGGGCUUCAUUCUCUCCAGUUCCCAUCACACUCUCCAAGCCCUGUGUUGUUGGCAGCGUCUGCCCUGCCCCUGCCCCGCCUUCUUGCCAAGCACCUCCCACCACAGGGCCUUUGCUCCAGCCAUCCCCUCGCCUGCAGCUCUGUUGCCCAGAUGGGCUCCUGGUCCUUGGGACUUGCAGGAUGCCACCUGCUCUGAGAGCCCCUCCCAGCUGCCAGAUGUAGUCAGGGGUGGUGGUGGUGGUAUUUUUUUCUUCAUGCUCAUCACUGGCUGAAGGUGCCUGGUGCCUGUGUUUGUGUCCUUGGUGGAGCCCCUGUUCCCCCAGAGUGCAGGGAUGCCCCUGCCUCUGCUGCCUCCAUGCCUGUGAGCAAGAAUAGGCGAGACCCAGGGUGGGCACUCAGCCAACUGCUGAGCAAAUGAAUAAGUGAGCACGUGAGCAAGUGGACAGAUGGACAGAGAGAUGGAUAGAUGGAGGGAGGGAGGAAUGGAACAAGGGAGGGAAGGAGGGAUGGAAGGAGGG
This 18534-nucleotide long non-coding RNA is filed under the name Homo sapiens (human). RNAcentral's name for it is "non-protein coding LINC00659:11". The record is from RNAcentral. Lineage: Eukaryota; Metazoa; Chordata; Mammalia; Primates; Hominidae.